RNAcentral lists this ribosomal RNA (192 nucleotides) under uncultured Lactobacillus sp. RNAcentral's name for it is "partial 16S ribosomal RNA". It matches the Rfam family "Bacterial small subunit ribosomal RNA", at positions 338 to 524 of the family's 1533-position model. The record is from RNAcentral. Lineage: Bacteria; Bacillati; Bacillota; Bacilli; Lactobacillales; Lactobacillaceae.
CCUACGGGAGGCAGCAGUAGGGAAUCUUCCACAAUGGACGCAAGUCUGAUGGAGCAACGCCGCGUGAGUGAAGAAGGUUUUCGGAUCGUAAAGCUCUGUUGUUGGUGAAGAAAGAUAGUGAGAGUAACUGCUCAUUAUUUGCCGGUAAUCAACCAGAAAGUCACGGCUAAUGUUCACAGCAGCCGCGGUAAU